GACGAACCGAGCGAACGUUAUUCGGAAUCACUGGGCUUAAAGGGCGCGUAGGCGGGUGAUCAAGUCAGGGGUGAAAGCCCCCAGCUCAACUGGGGAAGUGCCUCUGAUACUGGUCAUCUCGAGGGAGGUAGGGGCGUGCGGAACUUCCGGUGGAGCGGUGAAAUGCGUAGAUAUCGGAAGGAACACCGGUGGCGAAAGCGGCGCGCUGGACCUCUUCUGACGCUGAGGCGCGAAAGCCAGGGGAGCGAACGGG
RNAcentral lists this ribosomal RNA (253 nucleotides) under uncultured bacterium. RNAcentral describes it as "partial 16S ribosomal RNA". It matches the Rfam family "Bacterial small subunit ribosomal RNA", at positions 524 to 776 of the family's 1533-position model. The record is from RNAcentral.